CCUACGGGUGGCAGCAGUCGAGAAUCAUUCACAAUGGGGGAAACCCUGAUGGUGCGACGCCGCGUGGGGGAAUGAAGGUCUUCGGAUGGUAAACCCCUGUCAUGUGGGAGCAAAUUAAAAAGAUAGUACCACAAGAGGAAGAGACGGCUAACUCUGCGCCAGCAGCCGCGGUAAUACAGCGGUCUCAAGCGUUAUUCGGAAUCACUGGGCGUAAAGCGUGCGUAGGCUGUUUCGUAAGUCGUGUGUGAAAGGCGCGGGCUCAACCAGCGGACGGCACAUGAUACUGAGAGACUAGAGUAAGGGAGGGGGAAGCGGAAUUCUCGGUGUAGCAGUGAAAUGCGUAGAUAUCGAGAGGAACACUCGUGGCGAAGGCGGGUUCCUGGACAUUAACUGACGCUGAGGCACGAAGGCCAGGGGAGCGAAAGGGAUUAGAUACCCCAGUAGUC
Molecule: ribosomal RNA, 446 nt
Filed under: uncultured bacterium
Lineage: Bacteria
Description: partial 16S ribosomal RNA
Rfam family: Bacterial small subunit ribosomal RNA
Source: RNAcentral